CAGCCGCCGCGGUAAUACGUAGGUGGCAAGCGUUGUCCGGAAUUAUUGGGCGUAAAGGGCUCGCAGGCGGUUUCUUAAGUCUGAUGUGAAAGCCCCCGGCUCAACCGGGGAGGGUCAUUGGAAACUGGGAAACUUGAGUGCAGAAGAGGAGAGUGGAAUUCCACGUGUAGCGGUGAAAUGCGUAGAGAUGUGGAGGAACACCAGUGGCGAAGGCGACUCUCUGGUUUGUAACUGACGCUGAGGAGCGAAAGCGUGGGGAGCGAACAGGAUUAGAUACCCCUGUAGUCCAUGUCUCUUAUAC
Molecule: ribosomal RNA, 301 nt
Filed under: uncultured bacterium
Lineage: Bacteria
Description: partial 16S ribosomal RNA
Rfam family: Bacterial small subunit ribosomal RNA
Source: RNAcentral